GAAUAGGCUUUUAUCAAAGCUAUACAAUAUAAACAAACUAAUGUAU
This is a non-coding RNA of Dictyocaulus viviparus (bovine lungworm), 46 nucleotides long. The record is from Rfam. NCBI's taxonomy places the organism in Eukaryota, Metazoa, Nematoda, Chromadorea, Rhabditida, Metastrongylidae.